This is a non-coding RNA of Misgurnus anguillicaudatus (oriental weatherfish), 3798 nucleotides long. The record is from RefSeq and is a predicted model, not a curated record. Lineage: Eukaryota; Metazoa; Chordata; Actinopteri; Cypriniformes; Cobitidae.
CUUUGUUGGCCCCGUUCUCCCCCUGGAAGACAGACGAGACCUUUUUAAUAUUUCCCUAUUUCCCUUCCCUGAACCAUUUUAAAUAAUUUAAAUGAAGCUUGUUUUUCCUUACUUAUGCUCUGUGUGUUUGGUCAUUGGGGUGGCUUUGGGGCCUCCUCGAGGUGGAAACUAGGAAGGGGCGUGACUUACAACAUCUGGGUCCGCUCCGACCUGUGACAUAUAAAUAGAGCAUGUGAAACACAGGACAUCCCUCAUUGUUGUUCCCUUUUUUUUCUGGUGGAUGUUGGAGCGGAUGUUGUGGCAAAGUGGUGGGUUGAUGUGGCGAAGCCAAGGAUACGGACUCGAAGAGAAUAUCUGUGGAGUAAAAAGAACAGAAGAACCGAGUCAUUGAAACAGGUUUGGAGGAGGACGAAUUAUAUUUAAGAAGUGUAUUCUUACCUAUGUGUGUACAUGUGCAUUCAAGGCUACAGCGAAGUACAAUUCUGAGCGGAGGUUUCCUGGAGUUAAGCGGCUUGGGGAACCGCGAGAAGAGGACAAACGAGCACAGAGGAAGAGAGAUACAUGGUGUCAGACCGUGAGUAACAGUAGAUAUUCACAUUCACUGAGGCAUUGAAGUAACGGACAGUAAACUGUUUUGUGUGGAGUGUGUUGCUGUGUAUUGGCCCCACCGUGUAGUACGAAGCCGGUGGGUGAGCCAGAGGAGUGUAAGACACGCAGACCAUUGUGUGGGGAACCGUGACACCCAGACCACCGCCCGUGGCAGCGAUUGCAACGUCUCCCCCCCAGUGAAGUUCUUGACUCUGAGUGGAGGUAUGGGCCUUAUCUGUCACUAAGAAGUGUGGAUUGCCGUGGGUGAGUGUGAAUUAUUGACGUGUGUGCACCUGAAGUAUUUGCAGUGCUGUGCCGUGUCUUCUGUCGCCCGUACCGCCCCUAGGUCAAGCCAGUCGCUGUGAGGUGUGUCGUGUACUUACCUUUCUACCCCCUGCCUGUGUGUCCAAGCAACGAAGGGGAUUGUGAGUACAGUAUUGACGUGCUGUGGGAGAGAUCACAGUGAAGAUAAAGGAAGUAGAGAAAUUGUGAAAUCACAAACUAACUGUUGUGUGCAAACCCUGUGUUGGAGAGGAGGCCUAGCCGUCUGUCCCACCAAUCUAGGUGUCGAUUUAACCCUGGAGAGGAAAAGGAGCUGACGGGUCUGUUAUGGGCAUCAUCUCGCAGGCCCAUCUACAUCCCCUCCGCCUCUCAAGAUGGUAUCAGCCAGGACCAAGCCAGCAGCAGCCGGUUGGAAGUGGGUAAAGCCUGCAUUCUCUCCCCGUAGACCAAGGUUAGUUGAAGUACAAAUUCUCUCACCUACAUUGUAAUACCUCCUUGGAAUGCUUGAGUAUGAUAGAGAGAGCGUUAAGUUAACCGUCAUACUUACCUGAAGAGUCUGUUGAUACAGAGCAGCACGCCCAGGGAACCGCAGAGCCACCCUAGAACCGAGCUAAAGCUAAACGUACCCAAGUUGUCUGUUGAUUCAGAGCAGCACGCCCAGUGAACUGCAGAGCCACCCUAGAACCAAUGCAAAGCUAUACGUACCCAAGUUGUCUGUUGAUACAGAGCAGCACACCCAGUGAACCGUAGAGCAGUCCCAGGGUGGAGUCCAAGGCAAACUUACCUGAGAGACACUGUAGAUCCAGUCCAGUGCGCCUAGCCAAGUCUAUACUUACCUUGUGUAUCCGCCAGCCUGGUGGAGUACGACCCCGCAGCGUCUCCGAAGUAGCCUGAAAGUAGAAAGUGGAGUUGCUCUUAGUCCAGCAGCCUGUCAUCGUAAAACCUCAGUGCCGGAGAAAGGCACGACAGUCUAACGAGAUUUCCCAAACCUGUCCCUUGUGUGUGUGACUGUAGCAGUCAUCCGGGACGAGCGUGGAACCCAGCAGGCCGUGGACGGAGGAAAGGGUCGGCCACCCUGUGGAAGAAGAGCAGAAGAAGUUAGUAACACGAAGGAAGCUUCCCCUCAUACUUACCUGAAUACACCACGGUCACUCGCCGUAGCGGGACGUGGAACGGCUGAGAAGGCCGCGGAGCCACCCCGCGGCAGAGCAGGUAGUUGCCCUACAUCAGUGAUUCCCCUAAUUUUUGUUUUCAUUCUGCUUUCAGGAGAAGAGGAGGGCGCCACGGGUUCAAGAGACAAAAGUGAAGGAGCCCUGUCCCCCUGUCUCCCCCUUAGCACCCCUGUCGCUGGCACCUGGCCCUCUCCCCUUCUGCAAGACCAGCUGGGAGACAGAAGAAGGAUCAUUUUAGCUUCCCCUUUCCCCCUCCCACUAUAGUUUUAAAUCAUUUAAAUAAAGUUUGUUUUAACUUUUACUCACCUGUUUCGUGUGUUUGGUCAUUGGGGUGCUUUGGGGACCUCCUCAAGGUGGAAUGCCUGGAGGGGCAUCAGUAGCCCGCUCCGGUUGGUAACAUAAUCUCCCACCAGUACCAUAAAACCUGUUUUUGCCCUGCUUGAACUUCGCCAGAACCAUCGUCCUAUUGAGGAUUACGUGAGUGAUUUCUUGGAUUUGAGUAAUCAGGUACAUUUUGAUGAGGACACUUUAAAACCCAUUUUUUAUAAUGCUCUUAAUGAACAUUUACGUCUCUGUAUGCCACGCGAUAUGUCAGUCUGGUCUCUGGAACGUUAUAUUGACUUUGCUUUGUUGUUGUGUGGCUCUCCCUUCACUGUGGGUGUUGUGGAUAGCAAACCAGAGGCUAUUCACAACACGCCACGCCAUGUCAUGCCUGUUUUGUCCAUGCCUGUUCCUAAAAUGGCCGCCACCCAGGGGCGGAGCGGGGGGUGGCUUUUGGGGCUCGAGGCCCGAAUGUUUUGUCAAAAGCCCCGAAUCUUUUCAGAUCUGUAAAAUGAAUUCAUCCAGGACGCUAGGUGGCGGCACUCAGCUUUAACUCUCCGGUCCCCCACUCAACUGAAAAUGAAUAAGAGAUGUGUGUACUUGUGUUGAAGGCAAAAUAACAUUCUGAAUCUCCCCACAGUAAACGCAUUUUCAAAGUGUCUUUAUUAUUACAGUGCCUUCGUUAUUACUAUGGAUAUACGAUUUAUAUUUUUAAAGACGUCAGAAGUAAGAAGUGCAAAUAGGAAGAGAGGAGGGUGGAGAGAGAUCACAGAUAGACAGAAAGAGAGAAAGAGAGAGAGAGAAACGCUUCCAUAAGCAGGUGAGAAAUUGUUCUGUCAAUGAAGUCAAAAAUUGUUAUUCUUAUGUAGCUUUAUAGUUACUGGAUUAGCCUUCAGCAAACAUGUUUGCCUAUUUUUGGAUAAGAGAAGUUAAAGUAUCAUUGUCAAAAUUUGUUAUGUUGCAGUUUCAAAAUGACAAUACCAGUGUUGGGUAAGUUACUCAAAAAAGUAAUUAAUUACUAGUUACUAAUUACAUCUUCAAUCAUGUAAUUAAAUUACUUUACAAAUUACUCCAAAAAGUAUUUAAUUAUUACUAAUUACUUUCUAAAUCCUAUUUAGUACAUGAUACAAGGAUAGGCUUGAAAUGGCUCGAAGAAACAAUAUAUAAAAGUACAUCAAUUAUUCUGGUCCCACUUUAGGGUUCAUUUCUCUCUAUUAAUUAACUAUUAACUACUUUUGCCUCAAUAUACUCUAACUACUGCUUAUUAAUACUAAAGUAGUUGUUUAUUUUAAGUAUUUGUAUAAAUGGGGAGGGUUAAGGGUGUAGAAUAAGGUUUUGCAGAAUCAGGCAUUAAUAUGUGCUAUUUAAGUAGGCCUACUAAAAAACAGUCAACAUCUCAGUAAUAUUAAUGCUAAUAAUCAACCAGUUAAUAGUG